CAGCAGCCGCGGUAAUGCGUAGGGUGCAAGCGUUAAUCGGAAUUACUGGGCGUAAAGCGUGCGCAGGCGGUUAUAUAAGACAGAUGUGAAAUCCCCGGGCUCAACCUGGGAACUGCAUUUGUGACUGUAUAGCUAGAGUACGGCAGAGGGGGAUGGAAUUCCGCGUGUAGCAGUGAAAUGCGUAGAUAUGCGGAGGAACACCGAUGGCGAAGGCAAUCCCCUGGGCCUGUACUGACGCUCAUGCACGAAAGCGUGGGGAGCAAACAGGAUUAGAUACCCCAGUAGUCCCUGUCUCUUAUAC
This 301-nucleotide ribosomal RNA is filed under the name uncultured bacterium. Its description in RNAcentral is "partial 16S ribosomal RNA". It matches the Rfam family "Bacterial small subunit ribosomal RNA", at positions 509 to 807 of the family's 1533-position model. The record is from RNAcentral.